Molecule: long non-coding RNA, 1631 nt
Organism: Helianthus annuus (common sunflower)
Lineage: Eukaryota; Viridiplantae; Streptophyta; Magnoliopsida; Asterales; Asteraceae
Exons: 6
Source: RefSeq, a predicted model, not a curated record
AAAUUGUUCCCUGACGCGUGUUCCAUUCCAGCUCAUAAAUAUCAACUGAGAGAGAAUCAUGAGCGAUGGUGGCUGAAUUAGGGUUCCGACGCGGUAGUUUUAAGGCGGUGUAGCGGCGUCGUCACCACAAUCACCAUUGGUUUGCACCUGCAAAACCCUAACCUAGCCCAACACCAUCUAUAUAAGCACUAAUCAAACACCAGGUCGUCAGAAUCGCCUUGAAUCGAAGACCCAGUGGAACACCGGUCUGCAUCUCUACCAACAUUAUCACCACUAUCAACCUCCACAUCCACACUCACACCUCUGAUAAGAGAAUAUCAAAUCAUUGUUGAUAUGUUCCUAGAAGACAACUAACAACUGAGUUUUGUUGAGUAGGCGAAAAGCUAUUCACCAUGAUCGGAAUUGGUGCUAUUGGUGAGGCAUGGUUACCCUGCCCUUUUUUACAAUCUCCAUCCCUUUUGAUGUUAUUUUUAUGCUGGAUGUAUUUCACAACUGUAAAACCUGUGCGGCAAUUGUUUGAGAGAGAAACUUUAGUGAGUAUUGUGAUUUUGGUAAUCGAAUAUGGAAAUUGCCCUUUAAUCUGUUCUUCAAGCCAAGAUUGGCCUAAUGUUGGAGGUUCAUAAUGAAAAUGAAAUAAAACGUUCUCAGACCCAGCUACGAUUGGUAUACAACAGCUGUCGAAUUUAAAGACAAUGGCGUGUUUAAUGGUACAAAAAGGCAAGAGAAAAAGUCAAACAUGAGCAUACAUGUAAAACGACUUAACUCAUAGGACCUAACACCAACCACAUUACCCAAACUCGUCACCCAAACGCGAGCCUUGCAAUCAGCACCACCAAGCUUUCGAACGCGGGUCAAACCGUUUCAACCAAGACCUUCAGCAAUCACGAGUCGUAUGCGUGCAAUAUCAGCUCAUCAACAUCAGAUGCAACAGAGCAAUUUGAAAACAAUACGAAGGUAGUAGAGGGGUGCUGCCUGUCCCACAUCCGCUACCGCUUUCCAGCACCACACACCACCAAUUGUAAACAAUGGGAAGUUUUAAAGUCGACAGUGACAAUGGCCCACUGCUGCUGCUGCCACAAAAUGUUUCUGGUCCUCUGGCAUUGCCCCCAUCCAGAAACCACCUACUGCCAAUGAUUCCUGCCCCUUUACCCUCAUCUGCAACACUUAAAAAUUUCCCCUUUGAAGAACUUGCAGUCGUCUGCUAUUAUUUUUCACCUCAGACGUGUGUCAGAAGGUCAUUCAUCCGUUAUGCAUAGAGCUUCUUUCGGGGAAGAUGUUUCUCGCAAUAAAAAUCCUGAAGCCGUUGUUACAAGUCUUCAUCUUUCAUCUCAGAAAGGAGGAGAUUGCAAACUCAUGGAGGUGGUAAAUGAACAUGGGGUGAAAAGACACUACAAGGUCGACUAGAGAAUAAUUUAAAAGCGAAAUGGGUUAGAAGGGUUGAAGUUUGCCCAAAGGCUGUCAUACAAUGUCUUAAACACCUUAUGCUAUUGCUUUUAUAAUUACAGAUUAAUGCAUUAGUUAUUUAUAGUGUUUCUUCAUGAGAGAACAUCAAUUGUUAUGUAAAAUGUACAGAAAACGAUUGUGGUGAAAUUGAAUAAGAAAUACUCAAUUUGUUCCCGACUUUCUAAUCA